GAUGAACGCUGGCGGCGUGCCUAAUACAUGCAAGUCGAGCGAACAGACGAGGAGCUUGCUCCUCUGACGUUAGCGGCGGACGGGUGAGUAACACGUGGAUAACCUACCUAUAAGACUGGGAUAACUUCGGGAAACCGGAGCUAAUACCGGAUAAUAUAUUGAACCGCAUGGUUCAAUAGUGAAAGACGGUUUUGCUGUCACUUAUAGAUGGAUCCGCGCCGCAUUAGCUAGUUGGUAAGGUAACGGCUUACCAAGGCAACGAUGCGUAGCCGACCUGAGAGGGGGAACCGCCCCACUGGAAAUGAGACACGGUCCCGACUCCUAAGGGGGGCAGCAGUGGGGAAUAUUGGCGAAUGGGGGGAAGCCUGAACGAGCAAUACCGCGGGGGGGAAGAAGGGCUUCGGGUUGUAAAACCCUUUUUUUGGGGAAAAAAAAAAGGUGGAAAAAACCCCGCUGUUCUGACGGUACCCAAAGAAAAAGCCCCGGCUAACUUCGUG
Molecule: ribosomal RNA, 497 nt
Filed under: uncultured bacterium
Lineage: Bacteria
Description: partial 16S ribosomal RNA
Rfam family: Bacterial small subunit ribosomal RNA
Source: RNAcentral